CAGCCGCCGCGGUAAUACGAAGGGUGCAAGCGUUAAUCGGAAUUACUGGGCGUAAAGCGUGCGUAGGCGGCUUCUUAAGUCGGAUGUGAAAUCCCUGAGCUUAACUUAGGAAUUGCAUUCGAUACUGGGAAGCUAGAGUAUGGGAGAGGAUGGUAGAAUUCCAGGUGUAGCGGUGAAAUGCGUAGAGAUCUGGAGGAAUACCGAUGGCGAAGGCAGCCAUCUGGCCUAAUACUGACGCUGAGGUACGAAAGCAUGGGGAGCAAACAGGAUUAGAUACCCCCGUAGUCCCUGUCUCUUAUAC
This 301-nucleotide ribosomal RNA is filed under the name uncultured bacterium. RNAcentral describes it as "partial 16S ribosomal RNA". It matches the Rfam family "Bacterial small subunit ribosomal RNA", at positions 509 to 807 of the family's 1533-position model. The record is from RNAcentral.